CCUACGGGAGGCAGCAGUGAGGAAUAUUGGUCAAUGGACGAGAGUCUGAACCAGCCAAGUAGCGUGAAGGAUGACUGCCCUAUGGGUUGUAAACUUCUUUUAUAAAGGAAUAAAACGAGGCACGUGUGCCUUUUUGUAUGUACUUUAUGAAUAAGGAUCGGCUAACUCCGUGCCAGCAGCCGCGGUAAUACGGAGGAUCCGAGCGUUAUCCGGAUUUAUUGGGUUUAAAGGGAGCGUAGAUUGGUUGUUAAGUCAGUUGUGAAAGUUUGCGGCUCAACCGUAAAAUUGCAAUUGAUACUGGCAGUCUUGAGUACAGUUGAGGUAGGCGGAAUUCGUGGUGUAGCGGUGAAAUGCUUAGAUAUCACGAAGAACCCCGAUUGCGAAGGCAGCUUACUAAACUGUGACUGACACUGAUGCUCGAAAGUGUGGGUAUCAAACAGGAUUAGAUACCCCAGUAGUC
This 460-nucleotide ribosomal RNA is filed under the name uncultured bacterium. Its description in RNAcentral is "partial 16S ribosomal RNA". It matches the Rfam family "Bacterial small subunit ribosomal RNA", at positions 338 to 795 of the family's 1533-position model. The record is from RNAcentral.